UACCAGCACCCCGAGUGGUCGGGACGUUUAUUGGGCCUAAAGCAUCCGUAGCCGGUUCUACAAGUCUUCCGUUAAAUCCACCUGCUUAACAGAUGGGCUGCGGAAGAUACUAUAGAGCUAGGAGGCGGGAGAGGCAAGCGGUACUCGAUGGGUAGGGGUAAAAUCCGUUGAUCCAUUGAAGACCACCAGUGGCGAAGGCGGCUUGCCAGAACGCGCUCGACGGUGAGGGAUGAAAGCUGGGGGAGCAGACCGG
This 253-nucleotide ribosomal RNA is filed under the name uncultured bacterium. RNAcentral's name for it is "partial 16S ribosomal RNA". It matches the Rfam family "Archaeal small subunit ribosomal RNA", at positions 474 to 727 of the family's 1478-position model. The record is from RNAcentral.